AAAUUGAAGAGUUUGAUCAUGGCUCAGAUUGAACGCUGGCGGCAGGCCUAACACAUGCAAGUCGAACGGUAACAGGAAGCAGCUUGCUGCUUUGCUGACGAGUGGCGGACGGGUGAGUAAUGUCUGGGAAACUGCCUGAUGGAGGGGGAUAACUACUGGAAACGGUGGCUAAUACCGCAUAACGUCGCAAGACCAAAGAGGGGGACCUUCGGGCCUCUUGCCAUCAGAUGUGCCCAGAUGGGAUUAGCUUGUUGGUGAGGUAACGGCUCACCAAGGCGACGAUCCCUAGCUGGUCUGAGAGGAUGACCAGCCACACUGGAACUGAGACACGGUCCAGACUCCUACGGGAGGCAGCAGUGGGGAAUAUUGCACAAUGGGCGCAAGCCUGAUGCAGCCAUGCCGCGUGUAUGAAGAAGGCCUUAGGGUUGUAAAGUACUUUCAGCGGGGAGGAAGGUGUUGCGGUUAAUAACCGCAGCAAUUGACGUUACCCGCAGAAGA
RNAcentral lists this ribosomal RNA (498 nucleotides) under Salmonella enterica. Its description in RNAcentral is "bacterial SSU rRNA". It matches the Rfam family "Bacterial small subunit ribosomal RNA", at positions 1 to 488 of the family's 1533-position model. Lineage: Bacteria; Pseudomonadati; Pseudomonadota; Gammaproteobacteria; Enterobacterales; Enterobacteriaceae. The record is from RNAcentral.